RNAcentral lists this ribosomal RNA (491 nucleotides) under uncultured bacterium. RNAcentral describes it as "partial 16S ribosomal RNA". It matches the Rfam family "Bacterial small subunit ribosomal RNA", at positions 28 to 507 of the family's 1533-position model. The record is from RNAcentral.
GAUGAACGCUAGCUACAGGCUUAACACAUGCGAGUCGAGGGGAAACGAUGAGAGAGCUUGCUCUCUUAGUCGUCGACCGGCGCACGGGUGAGUAACGCGUAUCCAACCUGCCUCUGACCAAGGGAUAACCCGUCGAAAGUCGGACUAAUACCUUAUGCAGUCGUCGGAAGUCAUCUGAUGACGACGAAAGAUUUCAUCGGUGAGAGAUGGGGAUGCGUCUGAUUAGCUUGUUGGCGGGGUAACGGCCCACCAAGGCGACGAUCAGUAGGGGUUCUGAGAGGAAGGUCCCCCACAUUGGAACUGAGACACGGUCCAAACUCCUACGGGAGGCAGCAGUGAGGAAUAUUGGUCAAUGGGCGUAAGCCUGAACCAGCCAAGUAGCGUGCAGGAUGACGGCCCUAUGGGUUGUAAACUGCUUUUAUGCGGGGAGAAAGUGAGGGACGUGUCCUUCAUUGCAGGUACCGCAUGAAUAAGGACCGGCUAAGUCCGUG